This 441-nucleotide ribosomal RNA is filed under the name uncultured bacterium. RNAcentral's name for it is "bacterial SSU rRNA". It matches the Rfam family "Bacterial small subunit ribosomal RNA", at positions 28 to 452 of the family's 1533-position model. The record is from RNAcentral.
GAUGAACGCUGGCGGCGUGCUUAACACAUGCAAGUCGAACGGGAAAUACUUUAUUGAAACUUCGGUCGAUUUAAUCUAUUUCUAGUGGCGGACGGGUGAGUAACGCGUGGGUAACCUGCCUUAUACUGGGGGAUAACAGCCAGAAAUGGCUGCUAAUACCGCAUAAGCGCACGGGGCCGCAUGGUCCUGUGUGAAAAACUCCGGUGGUAUAAGAUGGACCCGCGUUGGAUUAGCUAGUUGGCAGGGCAGCGGCCUACCAAGGCGACGAUCCAUAGCCGGCCUGAGAGGGUGAACGGCCACAUUGGGACUGAGACACGGCCCAGACUCCUACGGGAGGCAGCAGUGGGGAAUAUUGCACAAUGGGGGAAACCCUGAUGCAGCGACGCCGCGUGAAGGAAGAAGUAUCUCGGUAUGUAAACUUCUAUCAGCAGGGAAGAUAAU